UCUGAUGCAGCGAUGCCGCGUGAGUGAAGAAGGCCUUUGGGUUGUAAAGCUCUUUCGUCGGGGAAGAAAAUGACUGUACCCGAAUAAGAAGGUCCGGCUAACUUCGUGCCAGCAGCCGCGGUAAUACGAAGGGACCUAGCGUAGUUCGGAAUUACUGGGCUUAAAGAGUUCGUAGGUGGUUAAAAAAGUUGGUGGUGAAAUCCCAGAGCUUAACUCUGGAACUGCCAUCAAAACUUUUUAGCUAGAGUAUGAUAGAGGAAAGCAGAAUUUCUAGUGUAGAGGUGAAAUUCGUAGAUAUUAGAAAGAAUACCAAUUGCGAAGGCAGCUUUCUGGAUCAUUACUGACACUGAGGAACGAAAGCAUGGGUAGCGAAGAGGAUUAGAUACCCUCGUAGUCCAUGCCGUAAACGAUGUGUGUUAGACGUUGGAAAUUUAUUUUCAGUGUCGCAGCGAAAGCGAUAAACACACCGCCUGGGGAGUACGACCGCAAGGUUAAAACUCAAAUGAAUUGACGGGGACCCGCACAAGUAGUGGAGCAUGUGGUUUAAUUCGAAGAUACGCGCAGAACCUUACCAACACUUGACAUGUUCGUCGCGACUCUAAGAGAUUAGAGUUUUCGGUUCGGCCGGACGAAACACAGGUGCUGCAUGGCUGUCGUCAGCUCGUGUCGUGAGAUGUUGGGUUAAGUCCCGCAACGAGCGCAACCCUCACUUUUAGUUGCCAUCAUUUAGUUGGGCACUCUGAA
RNAcentral lists this ribosomal RNA (744 nucleotides) under uncultured Pelagibacterales bacterium. RNAcentral's name for it is "bacterial SSU rRNA". It matches the Rfam family "Bacterial small subunit ribosomal RNA", at positions 382 to 1144 of the family's 1533-position model. The record is from RNAcentral. Lineage: Bacteria; Pseudomonadati; Pseudomonadota; Alphaproteobacteria; Candidatus Pelagibacterales.